AGAGUUUGAUCCUGGCUCAGGACGAACGCUGGCGGCGUGCCUAAUACAUGCAAGUAGAACGCACAGUUUAUACCGUAGCUUGCUACACCAUAGACUGUGAGUUGCGAACGGGUGAGUAACGCGUAGGUAACCUGCCUGGUAGCGGGGGAUAACUAUUGGAAACGAUAGCUAAUACCGCAUAAUAUUGAUUAUUGCAUGAUAAUUGAUUGAAAGAUGCUAUUGCAUCACUACCAGAUGGACCUGCGUUGUAUUAGCUAGUAGGUGAGGUAACGGCUCACCUAGGCGACGAUACAUAGCCGACCUGAGAGGGUGAUCGGCCACACUGGGACUGAGACACGGCCCAGACUCCUACGGGAGGCAGCAGUAGGGAAUCUUCGGCAAUGGACGAAAGUCUGACCGAGCAACGCCGCGUGAGUGAAGAAGGUUUUCGGAUCGUAAAGCUCUGUUGUAAGAGAAGAACGGGUGUGAGAGUGGAAAGUUCACACUGUGACGGUAUCUUACCAGAAAGGGACGGCUAACUACGUGCCAGCAGCCGCGGUAAUACGUAGGUCCCGAGCGUUGUCCGGAUUUAUUGGGCGUAAAGCGAGCGCAGGCGGUUAGAUAAGUCUGAAGUUAAAGGCUGUGGCUUAACCAUAGUACGCUUUGGAAACUGUUUAACUUGAGUGCAGAAGGGGAGAGUGGAAUUCCAUGUGUAGCGGUGAAAUGCGUAGAUAUAUGGAGGAACACCGGUGGCGAAAGCGGCUCUCUGGUCUGUAACUGACGCUGAGGCUCGAAAGCGUGGGGAGCGAACAGGAUUAGAUACCCUGGUAGUCCACGCCGUAAACGAUGAGUGAUAGGUGUUAGGCCCCUUUCCGGGGCUUAAUGCCCCAGCUAACCCAUAAAACCCCCCCCCGGGGGAAGACCACCGCAAAGGUGAAACUCAAAAGAAAUGACGGGGGGCCCCCACAACCGGGGGAAAAUUUGGUUUAAAUUUCAAACAAACCCCAAAAAACUUUACCCAGGUCUUUAAAUUCC
RNAcentral lists this ribosomal RNA (1014 nucleotides) under uncultured bacterium. Its description in RNAcentral is "bacterial SSU rRNA". It matches the Rfam family "Bacterial small subunit ribosomal RNA", at positions 8 to 990 of the family's 1533-position model. The record is from RNAcentral.